GCCAGGUGUGGUGGGUACACCUGUAAUCCCAGCUACUCAGGAGGCUGAGGCAGGAGAAUCACUUGAACCCGGGAGGCGGAGGUUGCAGUGAGCCAAGAUUGCACCACUGCACUCCAGCCUGGGUGACACAGUGAGACUCUGUCUCAA
Non-coding RNA from Homo sapiens (human), 147 nucleotides. It matches the Rfam family "Metazoan signal recognition particle RNA". From Rfam's summary of the family: The signal recognition particle (SRP) is a universally conserved ribonucleoprotein. It is involved in the co-translational targeting of proteins to membranes. NCBI's taxonomy places the organism in Eukaryota, Metazoa, Chordata, Mammalia, Primates, Hominidae. The record is from Rfam.